GCAUAUCAAUAAGCGGAGGAAAAGAAACCAACAGGGAUUGCCCUAGUAACGGCGAGUGAAGCGGCAACAGCUCAAAUUUGAAAUCUGGCUUUCGGGCCCGAGUUGUAAUUUGUAGAGGAUGAUUUUGAUGCGGUGCCUUCCGAGUUCCCUGGAACGGGACGCCAUAGAGGGUGAGAGCCCCGUCUGGUUGGAUGCCAAAUCUCUGUAAAUCUCCUUCGACGAGUCGAGUAGUUUGGGAAUGCUGCUCUAAAUGGGAGGUAUAUGUCUUCUAAAGCUAAAUACCGGCCAGAGACCGAUAGCGCACAAGUAGAGUGAUCGAAAGAUGAAAAGCACUUUGAAAAGAGAGUUAAAAAGUACGUGAAAUUGUUGAAAGGGAAGCGUUUAUGACCAGACUUGGGCUUGGUUAAUCAUCUGGGGUUCUCUCCAGUGCACUUUUCCAGUCCAGGCCAGCAUCAGUUUUCGCCGGGGGAUAAAGGCUUCGGGAAUGUGGCUCCCCUCGGGGAGUGUUAUAGCCCGUUGUGUAAUACCCUGGUGGGGACUGAGGUUCGCGCUUCUGCAAGGAUGCUGGCGUAAUGGUCAUCAACGACCCGUCUUGAAACACGGACCAAGGAGUCGUCUUCGUAUGCGAGUGUUCGGGUGUCAAACCCCUACGCGUAAUGAAAGUGAACGCAGGUGAGAGCUUCGGCGCAUCAUCGACCGAUCCUGAUGUUCUCGGAUGGAUUUGAGUAAGAGCAUACGGGGCCGGACCCGAAAGAAGGUGAACUAUGCCUGUGUAGGGUGAAGCCAGAGGAAACUCUGGUGGAGGCUCGCAGCGGUUCUGACGUGCAAAUCGAUCGUCAAACAUGGGCAUGGGGGCGAAAGACUAAUCGAACCUUCUAGUAGCUGGUUUCCGA
This 893-nucleotide ribosomal RNA is filed under the name Fusarium culmorum. RNAcentral's name for it is "LSU rRNA". It matches the Rfam family "Eukaryotic large subunit ribosomal RNA", at positions 38 to 961 of the family's 3401-position model. Lineage: Eukaryota; Fungi; Ascomycota; Sordariomycetes; Hypocreales; Nectriaceae. The record is from RNAcentral.